Molecule: long non-coding RNA, 305 nt
Filed under: Setaria viridis
Lineage: Eukaryota; Viridiplantae; Streptophyta; Magnoliopsida; Poales; Poaceae
Description: long non-coding RNA (SVIR_LNC006117)
Source: RNAcentral
UGACAGGAGCUAAAAUUUAGGGGAGGAACUAAACACCCCGAGAGGUGUGCGCGUGCUCGUGAGCAUCGUUCCGGUUCUCAGGUAGCUUGAUUCCCAAAUUACCGUCCCUCUCAUGAGCUGUGCGUUCCGUUGCGACUUUACCCUAGUGGUCCUGCCGAUUGCAUUGCAUCACGAAGAAGGCCGGAUCAUAGGCCACCCACGUCGUCAGUUAACUUAAAGGAAAAGACAACCCGUAUUGCUGGAUGAGGUAACGAGUCCUUGCGCUCCUCCUCCACACCUCUCCUCAUGGUCACCACUCACCAACC